AACGAACGCUGGCGGCGUGCCUAACACAUGCAAGUCGAGCGGGAACGGCGCCUUCGGGUGCCUAGUACAGCGGCGCACGGGUGAGUAAUACGUAGGUGACCUACCUCUUGCUGGGGAACAACCCCGGGAAACCGAGGCUAAUUCCGCAUAAGCCCUCCGAAUCACGGUUCGGCGGGGAAAGGUGGCCGCUCCAUGGAAGAUAGCGGCAAGAGAUGGGGCUGCGUCCCAUCAGCUAGUUGGUAGGGGAACGGCCUACCAAGGCUACAACGGGUAGCUGGUCUGAGAGGAUGAGCAGCCACACUGGAACUGAGACACGGUCCAGACUCCUACGGGAGGCAGCAGUGGGGAAUAUUGCGCAAUGGGCGAAAGCUUGACGCAGCAACGCCGCGUGAGUGAUGAAGGCCUUCGGGUUGUAAAGUACUUUCAGCGGGGAGGAAGGCGGUGAGGUUAAUAACCUCGCCGAUUGACGUUACCCGCAGAAGAAGCACCGGCUAACUCCGUGCCAGCCGCCGCUGUAA
This 518-nucleotide ribosomal RNA is filed under the name uncultured bacterium. Its description in RNAcentral is "partial 16S ribosomal RNA". It matches the Rfam family "Bacterial small subunit ribosomal RNA", at positions 29 to 523 of the family's 1533-position model. The record is from RNAcentral.